UGAGUGAGUGGCGAACUGGUGAGUAACACGUGGGAAACCUGCCCAGAAGCGGGGGAUAACACCUGGAAACAGAUGCUAAUACCGCAUAACAACUUGGACCGCAUGGUCCGAGCUUGAAAGAUGGCUUCGGCUAUCACUUUUGGAUGGUCCCGCGGCGUAUUAGCUAGAUGGUGGGGUAACGGCUCACCAUGGCAAUGAUACGUAGCCGACCUGAGAGGGUAAUCGGCCACAUUGGGACUGAGACACGGCCCAAACUCCUACGGGAGGCAGCAGUAGGGAAUCUUCCACAAUGGACGAAAGUCUGAUGGAGCAACGCCGCGUGAGUGAAGAAGGGUUUCGGCUCGUAAAACUCUGUUGUUAAAGAAGAACAUAUCUGAGAGUAACUGUUCAGGUAUUGACGGUAUUUAACCAGAAAGCCACGGCUAACUACGUGCCAGCAGCCGCGGUAAUACGUAGGUGGCAAGCGUUGUCCGGAUUUAUUGGGCGUAAAGCGAGCGCAGGCGGUUUUUUAAGUCUGAUGUGAAAGCCUUCGGCUCAACCGAAGAAGUGCAUCGGAAACUGGGAAACUUGAGUGCAGAAGAGGACAGUGGAACUCCAUGUGUAGCGGUGAAAUGCGUAGAUAUAUGGAAGAACACCAGUGGCGAAGGCGGCUGUCUGGUCUGUAACUGACGCUGAGGCUCGAAAGUAUGGGUAGCAAACAGGAUUAGAUACCCUGGUAGUCCAUACCGUAAACGAUGAAUGCUAAGUGUUGGAGGGUUUCCGCCCUUCAGUGCUGCAGCUAACGCAUUAAGCAUUCCGCCUGGGGAGUACGGCCGCAAGGCUGAAACUCAAAGGAAUUGACGGGGGCCCGCACAAGCGGUGGAGCAUGUGGUUUAAUUCGAAGCUACGCGAAGAACCUUACCAGGUCUUGACAUACUAUGCAAAUCUAAGAGAUUAGACGUUCCCUUCGGGGACAUGGAUACAGGUGGUGCAUGGUUGUCGUCAGCUCGUGUCGUGAGAUGUUGGGUUAAGUCCCGCAACGAGCGCAACCCUUAUUAUCAGUUGCCAGCAUUAAGUUGGGCACUCUGGUGAGACUGCCGGUGACAAACCGGAGGAAGGUGGGGAUGACGUCAAAUCAUCAUGCCCCUUAUGACCUGGGCUAC
This 1142-nucleotide ribosomal RNA is filed under the name Lactiplantibacillus plantarum. RNAcentral's name for it is "bacterial SSU rRNA". It matches the Rfam family "Bacterial small subunit ribosomal RNA", at positions 88 to 1217 of the family's 1533-position model. The record is from RNAcentral. Lineage: Bacteria; Bacillati; Bacillota; Bacilli; Lactobacillales; Lactobacillaceae.